ACGGGAGGCAGCAGUGGGGAAUAUUGGGCAAUGGGCGAAAGCCUGACCCAGCAACGCCGCGUGAAGGAAGAAGGCCUUCGGGUUGUAAACUUCUUUUACCAGGGACGAAGGACGUGACGGUACCUGGAGAAAAAGCAACGGCUAACUACGUGCCAGCAGCCGCGGUAAUACGUAGGUUGCAAGCGUUGUCCGGAUUUACUGGGUGUAAAGGGUGUGUAGGCGGAGGAUCAAGUCAGAUGUGAAAAUUAUGGGCUCAACUCAUAACUUGCAUUUGAAACUGAUCUCCUUGAGUGUGGGAGAGGUAAAUGGAAUUCCCAGUGUAGCGGUGAAAUGCGUAGAUAUUGGGAGGAACACCAGUGGCGAAGGCGGUUUACUGGACCACAACUGACGCUGAGACACGAAAGCGUGGGGAGCAAACAGGAUUAGAUACCCUGGUA
This is a ribosomal RNA of 437 nucleotides. It matches the Rfam family "Bacterial small subunit ribosomal RNA", at positions 341 to 792 of the family's 1533-position model.